Molecule: long non-coding RNA, 993 nt
Organism: Lycium barbarum (goji berry)
Lineage: Eukaryota; Viridiplantae; Streptophyta; Magnoliopsida; Solanales; Solanaceae
Exons: 3
Source: RefSeq, a predicted model, not a curated record
GAGCUCCUCUCAGAUUCAUUUCCCUACACAGAACUUGCGAAUGGAGUGCUCUGUAAGUACAAGGGUCGUUAAUUAAGGGAGCCAUCGAUGUAAAUAUCGGGGGCGAGUCCAUCUGCUGAAGAUGUGAAAAGAUGGAUGAUUGCAUUGUAUCUUUCCAAAAGAUUGACACCAAAAGCUACUUGUCACCAUGGAAGUGACAUUACUGGAGUGAAUUCAGAAGCAUGCAUGGUCCUUUUGAUGCAGUGGUGGAUGACGCAAACCGUACCACUCAACGGGAAAAAAAGACUUGAUGACGGCUCACAUACUCGAAGGGUUCUUUAGCUGGCACUUAGACUGCUACUACUAUGAAAAAAGUCAAUAGAAUGCGAUAGGGGAGGAAAAAAAGCUCGACUAAGGCCUCUUGAAGUCUUUGUAGCUGUUCCUGGACUUUAGCUAGGUCCACCAGAAAGAAAGGUUGUUGGCAAAAGCGUGGCUUAGGUGUGACAGGUAUUCAGUUGCCACCAGCUCUUAAGCACACCCAUUGGCAUGGGAUCGGAAGACUUCUAGUUUUGUAAAUGUGUCCAUAACUAUUUUAAUUUCUCACAGUUCAGAUCUCUUGCCAAUAAAUUAAGACAGAUGAGUGAAUCGAAGCAGUUAUUUUGCACAAUAAUUAUGCAACUGUUGGUCCUGCAACAUCCUAAUAACAAGAAGUUGUUAGAGAACUGGAAAAAAACGGGUUCUCACUUCCCCCAACGCGACUCAAACCUUCAGCCUACCGGUUGAUGGUAGAGGUGCUUAACCACUUGAGCUACCCUUGCUUGUCAAGAUGGAGGUGUUGGUGAUCAAGCCGUCAAGGCUGUUGAUAAUGGUGAGAGCACGGUGAUUUUUACCUUUUGAUACUAUUUGCCUGUAGUUCAAUUUUGUAAUGCAACUUUAAUAGCAGCUUGGGUUUGCGUGCUGUAUGUGGAUUGGUUGAAGAAUUAACAUGUAUACUAAUUAUUUUUCAUUUGUUAC